RNAcentral lists this ribosomal RNA (253 nucleotides) under uncultured bacterium. RNAcentral's name for it is "partial 16S ribosomal RNA". It matches the Rfam family "Bacterial small subunit ribosomal RNA", at positions 524 to 776 of the family's 1533-position model. The record is from RNAcentral.
UACGUAGGUGGCAAGCGUUAUCCGGAUUUACUGGGUGUAAAGGGCGUGUAGGCGGGAAAGCAAGUCAGAUGUGAAAACCACGGGCUCAACCUGUGGCCUGCAUUUGAAACUGUUUUUCUUGAGUACUGGAGAGGCAGACGGAAUUCCCAGUGUAGCGGUGAAAUGCGUAGAUAUUAGGAGGAACACCAGUGGCGAAGGCGGUCUGCUGGACAGCAACUGACGCUGAGGCGCGAAAGCGUGGGGAGCAAACAGG